RNAcentral lists this ribosomal RNA (253 nucleotides) under uncultured bacterium. RNAcentral describes it as "partial 16S ribosomal RNA". It matches the Rfam family "Bacterial small subunit ribosomal RNA", at positions 524 to 776 of the family's 1533-position model. The record is from RNAcentral.
UACGUAAGUGGCGAGCGUUAUCCGGAAUUACUGGGCGUAAAGCGUGCGUAGGCGGUUUAGUGUGUGGGAAUUGAAAGCCCGGGGCUCAACUCCGGAUCCGGUUCCCAAACUGCUAGACUCGAGCGUAUCAGAGGACAGUGGAAUUCCCGGUGUAGCGGUAAUAUGCGUAGAUAUCGGGAGGAACACCAGUGGCGAAGGCGACUGUCUGGGGUAUUGCUGACGCUGAGGAGCGAAAGCCAGGGGAGCAAACGGG